UUACCAGCACGUUAUGUGGGCGACUCUAAGGAGGACUGCCGGUGACAAACCGGAGGAAGGUGGGGAUGACGUCAAGUCAUCAUGGCCUUACGGCCUGGGCUACACACGUGCUACAAUGGUCGGUACAAAGGGUUGCCAAGCCGCGAGGUGGAGCUAAUCCCAUAAAACCGAUCGUAGUCCGGAUCGCAGUCUGCAACUCGACUGCGUGAAGUCGGAAUCGCUAGUAAUCGUGAAUCAGAAUGUCACGGUGAAUACGUUCCCGGGCCUU
This 268-nucleotide ribosomal RNA is filed under the name uncultured Pseudomonas sp. RNAcentral describes it as "partial 16S ribosomal RNA". It matches the Rfam family "Bacterial small subunit ribosomal RNA", at positions 1115 to 1382 of the family's 1533-position model. The record is from RNAcentral. Lineage: Bacteria; Pseudomonadati; Pseudomonadota; Gammaproteobacteria; Pseudomonadales; Pseudomonadaceae.